Molecule: long non-coding RNA, 3288 nt
Filed under: Homo sapiens (human)
Lineage: Eukaryota; Metazoa; Chordata; Mammalia; Primates; Hominidae
Description: HSALNT0386818
Source: RNAcentral
GUAUUUGAAUUUGUGGCGCUUGGUGUCCGCGAGUUGCCGAAUGAAGCUGAGCGUCUCAGUGGAACCAGGGAUCUCAGGGAGACAGGGUCUGGCUUUGUUGCCCUGGUCUUGAACUCCUGGCUUCAAGUGAUUUUCCUGCCUCAGCCUCCUGAAGUGCUGGAAUUACAGGCAUGAGCUGCCACACCUGCGCCUGCCCCUGGCUCAGCGCCCGGUGCCAACAGAACACCUUUCAGGAUCCACAGCAACGCAGACAACGUAAGUACCAGCCGUUCCCUGAAACCCUUUUGCAGAUUUUUUAAAAACAACCACCUAAAACAUAGAGAGAGAGAGACAAGCCUCUUUCCCCUUCUUCUCCCCUGCGUUAUGCCACCAGUGUUUCCUCAGUAGCCCCUUCCAAAUCGCUCUGCCUUCAAGUUUGUGCAUGUCUGUGUGGCAUCCCUCCUCCUCCUUCACUCCCAUAGUGGAUCUUGUAAAAGGGCUUCAGAUCGGCCCCAUUCAUCUCCCUGGUGAUAGCAGUGAAUGUAGAUAAAUCUCUGGCUGCCUGCUUGCUGCUGGAGUAUGAUUUUUAUUUUGUCUUCUGUGUAUACCUGGGUCAAAAAGUGGGAUGUAUGCAUACACAUACAUGCACAUACACAUAUUUCCUUCUCUCUCCUCUCUCUCCCUCCUUUUUCUCACACAUGCAUACAUCCUACAUAUGUGUGUAUAUGCAUAAACAUAUACACCUAUAUACAUACCCAUACCUGUAGCACAAAAUAUAUACAUAUCUAAACGUUUGUCUGAAAAUAUGCAUAUUUAUAUACACAUACAACCUUACACAUGUGUUUAUACGCAAUCGAUAGGUGCCUAUCUUUUAAUUUAUACCCAUCUAUAUCUCCAUUUAAAUAUUCCCUCUCUUCUCCCAGCAGAGGCUGUGUGCAAUUGCAAUCCAGGAUUAUACAAGCAGUAUUCUUUCCUUAUGAUUUCUAGUUGUAGACCUUUAUCCUCCUUUCUCUGCCUUCUUCGCAGCUGUAGAAUUGGCAUCUUUCCCUGAGGUUUUCCGAGUGGCAAGUGGCACCGGCUGUGGCAUGUAUUCAUGCCGCUUCCUAUGGCAUUUCUCUUCCGAUGUCUGCUUUUUCUUUGUUUGUUGUUGACUAGGCUGAAUGGUGGGGUUUUUUUUAAGUUAAUUAUAAACGAAGUUGAAAUAGCAAACAAGCCAACAGCUUGUCCCCCCCACCAAAAGAAAAAUUAGCCCCACACAAGCGCCUUCUGCUGCAACAGAUGCCCAGAUCACCCCUGGCACGGGCAAACGGGCAAACGAUUUUGGUGGUUUUCAGUUUUUUCUGUUUGUUGCUGUAUUUGUUGUUUGUUUUCCUUGUUUCUUUUUGAUUUUUCGAGGAGUCCAGAAUCCCGGCCUCUGCUUGGAACGGAACAGUGUCAUGGCGGAGACGACGGCCUUUGUCUUGCUGGGUGUGAAAACAUCCGCUGUGCUGGCUCCACUGCGGCAGAAUCAAGUUUAAAGGAAAAAAAGUGAUUAAAGUCAGCUUUGUGCCUCUGUGGUGUGGAAGACCCCCAAACCCCAAGUAGCCGAGUCCCAGGGUCCGAGGAAGGGCUCAUAGUUGGAGCAGCCUAGGCUGUAAUCCUGGCACUUGCGCCUUCGGUUGCUGCUUGCUGUUCGCUCCUGGGGGUCUGGAUAAUCUCCCUUGGCUUUACCGCACUGUCUGGCCCGCAUACAGGGCCCCGUAUCAUAUACCCGCUGCUGCUAUCACACGAAACUGUGGCGUUGCCCCUGAAUGGAUGGCACGGUGCCAACUCUUCUGCCAUCCGCCCUUGCAGCUUUUUUCUUUUCUCCCUCCCUCCCCUUCUUCUUCUCCUCCUCCCGUCGACUUGACGUUAAUUAACACUCGGGUUAAUUGAUUUUAAAAGCCGAAGAAUUACAGUUAACUUUUCCCACAGGGUACAGACGCCAGCCGCUUGGCACACUCUGCUUUUCGCACUGGUGCAGGGGAACAGGGAAAGCCCGCAGCAAAGCUAGCAACUGCUGAGGGAGCGUUGCCUGCUUAUUGGAGUAGAGCCGAUAGAAGUCGACGUGGCAUUGCCUCAUCCUUUACAAUAUAUGUAUCCAUUAUAUAUUUUGUUAAAUAAUCAAAACACCACCCUGUUUUUCUUCUUCUCCGUUCCUCUUUCAAAACAGGAAGACCAUUCAGAAGUUCACCUAGAAAGGGAUAAAAUCUUUCCACCAAACCUCUCUUUCAUCCAUGAUAUGCUUUUUUUUCCCAAUGAUAAAUAGCUGGUACCUUAAAUUUUUUUUUUUUUUUUUUUUUUUUUUUUUUUUAGGUACAAAAAGAAAGGCUUACCCCUUCCCUAAAAAUUACAGACAUAGAAGUUUGGUGGUUUUUUUUUUUAAGAAAAAGUUCCGUAAAGUUUUUCUGUUUCAGUGUUUUGUUUUGUUUUGAUGUCUCUUGGCUCAAAAGGGUUAUUUAUGGUGAAGGAUUUCAAUGAGAAAGUGGGUACAUUGUAAUUAACAACAAAAUUCGUAUGAAAGCUCUUUGUUUAUAUGUCUGUAUAUCUUGGCUUUUUGUCCCUUUCCCCCCAAUCCUCUAGAAAAUGAAAGCGACUGAUACUGUAGUUGGGAAGAAGACAGGCAAGGCUGGGGACUUGAUGCUUUCACCUUUUCAUGCUUUCAUUUUAUUUCAUUUUGUUUUUUAAAAGCACGCAGCAAGUGAAGCGACAAGAGGAAUCCAUUAUGCAAAUCAUGUCACUUUGCAUAACGUCUCAUGACUAGAAUAUGCAAAUGAACUGUAUAAUUUAUGAGUGCCAGUGUCUGUCUAAGAGUGUUUCACAUAAUUUACAAAGUGAGCCUGAGAGGCAUGAGGAAGGCAGCUCUUCCGAUUCCAUUGCCAGGAAAGCGCUAUAUAUUUUUCUGUAAGUGAUCCCUCAUAAUAUCAUCAAGUGCUAUUUAAAAGAAAUGAAGAUUUCAAAUGUACAUGAAAGGCAAAGAUUUUCCUCUCACUUCCUUCACCCAUUGAUUUUUUUUCCUAAAAUUUGCAAGAAACUUGGACUCUAAAGCCUUAAAUUUUGGAUUUAAUUUGGAAAAGAAAAGUUAUUUGAGCCAAACUUGCUCUUUGUAUGAGGGUUUUCUUUUUUUAAGCAAGGAAUGUCUUAGAGAAGCAGACACCUUAUCUAUUAAUAUUUGCCUGGACCUAUAGAAGGCAGAAGAAUGGGAUUUCUCAUUUUGGUUGGUUUUAUGUUUGCCCUGUAACAUUUUAUAAAUAAUAGUCUCAUGGAUGUAUUAAAUAUUGAUAUGGAAUA